RNAcentral lists this ribosomal RNA (252 nucleotides) under uncultured bacterium. RNAcentral describes it as "partial 16S ribosomal RNA". It matches the Rfam family "Bacterial small subunit ribosomal RNA", at positions 525 to 776 of the family's 1533-position model. The record is from RNAcentral.
ACGGAGGAUGCAAGCGUUAUCCGGAAUUAUUGGGCGUAAAGCGUACGUAGGCUGUUAGAUAAGUCUGUUGUCAAAGCGCGAGGCUCAACCUUGUAAAGGCAAUGGAAACUGUUUGACUAGAGAGAGAUAGGGGCAGGAGGAAUUCCAGGUGUAGCGGUGAAAUGCGUAGAUAUCUGGAAGAACACCAGUGGCGAAAGCGUCCUGCUGGAUCUCAACUGACGCUGAAGUACGAAAGCUAGGGGAGCGAAUGGG